GGACUACCCGGGUAUCUAAUCCUGUUUGCUACCCACGCUUUCGUGUCUCAGCGUCAGUGUCGGUCCAGAAAGCCGUCUACACCACCGGUGUUCCUCCUGAUAUCUACGCAUUUCACCGCUACACCAGGAAUUCCACUUUCCUCUCCCGUACUCUAGUCCCUCAGUAUUCGGCGCACCCUCCCGGUUAAGCCGGGAGAUUUCACACCAAACUUAAAGAACCGCCUACACACCCUUUACGCCCAGUAACUCCGAACAACGCUUGCUGCCUACGUAUUACCGCGGCUGCUGGCAC
RNAcentral lists this ribosomal RNA (292 nucleotides) under uncultured Acidobacteriota bacterium. RNAcentral describes it as "uncultured Acidobacteria bacterium partial 16S ribosomal RNA". Lineage: Bacteria; Pseudomonadati; Acidobacteriota. The record is from RNAcentral.